Molecule: ribosomal RNA, 462 nt
Filed under: uncultured bacterium
Lineage: Bacteria
Description: partial 16S ribosomal RNA
Rfam family: Bacterial small subunit ribosomal RNA
Source: RNAcentral
GACGAACGCUGGCGGCGUGCUUAACACAUGCAAGUCGAGCGGAAAGGCCCUUCGGGGUACUCGAGCGGCGAACGGGUGAGUAACACGUGAGUAACCUGCCCCAGACUUUGGGAUAACCCUCGGAAACGGGGGCUAAUACCGGAUACGACACAGCUUCGCAUGGGGUCUGUGUGGAAAGUUUUUCGGUUUGGGAUGGGCUCGCGGCCUAUCAGCUUGUUGGUGGGGUGAUGGCCUACCAAGGCGACGACGGGUAGCCGGCCUGAGAGGGCGACCGGCCACAGGGGGACGGAGCGACGCCCCAGCCCCCAAGGGGGGGCAGUGGGGGGAAAUAUGGCAAAGGGGGGGGAAGCCUGUGGAGGAGGCCCGGGGGGGGGGAAGAGGGCCUUCGGUUGAAAAACCUUUUGCGGGGGAGAAGAACCGAAAGUGACGGUACCGAAAGAAGAAGCGCCGGCAAACUACGUG